Non-coding RNA from Schizosaccharomyces pombe (fission yeast), 413 nucleotides. The record is from the annotation of a GenBank genome assembly. Lineage: Eukaryota; Fungi; Ascomycota; Schizosaccharomycetes; Schizosaccharomycetales; Schizosaccharomycetaceae.
AUAAAUAAUUGACAUUUUCACAAAAAAUCACUUAACGUCAAUAUUGCCUACUUGACUGCUUCUUUUUCUUUAUCUCUUUAUCCCGACAAACAAACAGCGUCGUAAUCAUCACUGUAUUGCCUCGUUUCUCAAGGGCUUUCAACCUCAGUAAUCCCUUAUCAACUACAAAAUAUACAUCCAAACAACUGAAAUGUAUUUUAUUUUUUAUUUACAAAAGAGUCUCUUAAAAAAUCAUUAAUCACUUUGAUUACACAUUAAGUCAGAUAAAUGAUAACCUCUGUAGAAAUCGCUUAUUUUACUAUCUUCGUUUAGUGGAAUAGUACCUAAACGGACUAUUGUUGUAUCCAAAAGUAAGUAUAAUGAAUAAAUGAGGACUAAAUUUGCGCAAUAAAGCAUAGCCAAAAAAUGACAAA